UCAAAACAACACACAAACAGAGAGAGCUUUUGGAAGAGUACUUAUCUAGCACAGCAAGGCCCUGGCUUAAUCCCAGUCCCAUAUCCACAACUUUGGAAGACUCAAUGCCUGGCACUUCCUGACCACAAGGCUGACCACGAAGGCUGACCACAAGGCUUCGAGCAUGCAGAAGGGAAUGGUAAGGGGCACCUGGUGUGGCUGCUUAAACUUAGAAAACAGUAAGGAGUUCGAUGCUCACUGAACUUACUGCUUUUGCUUCAAAGAAAAAUACUUUAAUAAAGUUGAUUACUUCUCUCA
This 297-nucleotide long non-coding RNA is filed under the name Rattus norvegicus (Norway rat). Its description in RNAcentral is "long non-coding RNA NONRATT027815". Lineage: Eukaryota; Metazoa; Chordata; Mammalia; Rodentia; Muridae. The record is from RNAcentral.